CUCCGUGAUGCGGUACCUGAGUACGGCGAGGCACGAGGAACCUUGUCGGAAUCUGGGUCGACCACGAUCCAAGGCUAAAUACUCGAUAACUACCGAUAGUGCAGCAGUACCGUGAGGGAAAGGCGAAAAGAACCCCGGUGAGGGGAGUGAAAGAGAACCUGAAACCGGACACCCGCAACAGGUCAGAGCACCGAAAGGUGUGAUGGCGUGCCUUUUGUAGAAUGAGCCUGCGAGUUACGAUAUACGGCGAGGUUAAGGGAUGGGAGUCCUGGAGCCUAAGGGAAACCGAGUCUGAAGAGGGCGUGAAGUCGUAUGUCGUAGACCCGAAGCCAGGUGAUCUAGUUAUGGGCAGGUUGAAGCUCAGGUAAAACUGAGUGGAGGACCGAACUCUAGUGUGAUGAAAAACGCAGGGAUGACCCGUGACUAGGAGUGAAAGGCUAAACAAACCUGGAAAUAGCUGGCUCUCCCCGAAAUGCCUUGAGGGACAGCCUCAUUCAAAUGUACCGGAGGUAGAGCACUGGAUGGACUAGGGGGCUUCACCGCCUACCAAACCCAACCAAACUCCGAAUGCCGGUACACAACGGAUGGGAGUGAGACUGCGGGCGACAAGGUUCGUAGUCGAGAGGGGAACAGCCCAGACCGUCGGCUAAGGUCCCGAAAUACCGCUGAGUGUGAAAUGAUGUGUGAUUGCGAAGACAGCCAGGAGGUUGGCUUAGAAGCAGCCAUUCCUUUAAAGAGUGCGUAAUAGCUCACUGGUCGAGUAAUCAUGCGCAGACAAUGUAACGGGGCUAAGCGGUAUACCGAAGCCACGGAAUCAUACCGUAGGGUAUGGUUGGUAGGGGAGCAUUCCAUGGACCGACGAAGGUGGCCCGUGAGGGUAGCUGGAGGGGAUGGAAGAGAGAAUGCAGGUAUAAGUACACGAAAAGACAGGUGAGAUUCCUGUCCGCCGAAAGCCUAAGGUUUCCUGGGUAAAGGUCGUCUGCCCAGGGUAAGUCGGCCCCUAAGGCGAGGACGAAAGUCGUAGUCGAUGGGAAACGGGUGAAGAUUCCCGUACCUUAGCACGUUUCGAGGGGAUGACGCAUGAGGUGAAAUCCGGCCAGAGAUUGGUAGAUCUGGUCUAAGCCACGAGCUAGUGAACUGCGUAGGGAAAUCCGCGCGGGGAGGUAAGUGGUGAUGGCGAGCUGAGCUACGGCGAGGCGAAGCGGACGUAAUCAUGGUGCCAAGAAACAAUCUCUAAGGUUAGGCGUGUUAAGACCGUACCGUAAACCGACACAGGUAGGCGGGAUGAGCAAUCUAAGGCGCUCGAGAGAACUCGCGUUAAGGAACUCGGCAAAAUGCACACGUAACUUCGGGAGAAGUGUGGCCCCUUGCUGUUUAGCGAUAAGUGGUGAGGGGUAGCAUAGAGCAGUCCCAGGCGACUGUUUACCAAAAACACAGGCCUCUGCGAAUCAGCAAUGAGACGUAUAGGGGCUGACACCUGCCCGGUGCCGGAAGGUUAAGGGGAGCGGUUAGCCGCGAGGCGAAGCUGUGAACCGAAGCCCCGGUAAACGGCGGCCGUAACUAUAACGGUCCUAAGGUAGCGAAAUUCCUUGUCGGGUAAGUUCCGACCCGCACGAAUGGUGUAACGAUCUGGGAGCUGUCUCAACGCGAGACUCGGUGAAAUUUAAGUACCGGUAAAGAUGCCGGUUACCCGUGGUUAGACGGAAAGACCCCGUGAACCUUCACCGUAACUUAUCAUGGGGACUUGAUCUGACAUGUGUAGGAUAGGUGGGAGACUGGGAAGCAUGGCCGUUAGGUUGUGUGGAGUCGACGGUGAAAUACCACCCUUGUUGGAUUAGGUUUCUAACCUGUUCCAUGAAGCUGGGAGAGGGACAAUGAUAGGUGGGCGGUUUGACUGGGGCGGUCGCCUCCUAAAGAGUAACGGAGGUGCGCGAAGGUCACCUCGCGCUGGUUGGAAAUCAGCGUAUGAGUGUAAAGGCACAAGGUGGCUUGACUGUGAGACCGACAGGUCGAGCAGGUACGAAAGUAGGUCUUAGUGAUCUGGCGGUAGCGAGUGGAAGCGCCGUCACUUAACGGAUAAAAGGUACUCCGGGGAUAACAGGCUGAUCUUCCCCAAGAGUUCACAUCGACGGGAAGGUUUGGCACCUCGAUGUCGGCUCAUCGCAUCCUGGGGCUGGAGCAGGUCCCAAGGGUUUGGCUGUUCGCCAAUUAAAGCGGUACGUGAGCUGGGUUCAGAACGUCGCGAGACAGUUCGGUCCCUAUCUGCCACGGGCGAUGGAUGGUUGAGAGGAGCUGCUUUUAGUACGAGAGGACCGAAGUGGACGAACCUCUGGUGUACCAGUUGUCCUGCCAAGGGCACGUGCUGGGUAGCUAAGUUCGGAAGGGAUAACCGCUGAAGGCAUCUAAGUGGGAAGCCCACCUCAAGAUGAACCAUCCCUGGGGGUAUAGCCCCCCUGAAGGCACCAGGGAGACUACCUGGUUGAUAGGCUGGAGGUCUAAGCAUCGUAAGGUGUUCAGCCGACCAGUACUAAUCUGCCGUGAGGCUUGACCAUAUU
RNAcentral lists this ribosomal RNA (2555 nucleotides) under Treponema sp. J25. Its description in RNAcentral is "partial 23S ribosomal RNA". It matches the Rfam family "Bacterial large subunit ribosomal RNA", at positions 392 to 2925 of the family's 2925-position model. The record is from RNAcentral. Lineage: Bacteria; Pseudomonadati; Spirochaetota; Spirochaetia; Treponematales; Treponemataceae.